Molecule: ribosomal RNA, 253 nt
Filed under: uncultured bacterium
Lineage: Bacteria
Description: partial 16S ribosomal RNA
Rfam family: Bacterial small subunit ribosomal RNA
Source: RNAcentral
UACGUAGGGGGCAAGCGUUGUCCGGAAUCAUUGGGCGUAAAGAGCGUGUAGGCGGCCCGGUAAGUCCGCCGUGAAAGUCCAGGGCUCAACCCUGGAAUGCCGGUGGAAACUGCCGGGCUGGAGUCCGGAAGAGGCGAGUGGAAUUCCUGGUGUAGCGGUGAAAUGCGCAGAUAUCAGGAGGAACACCAAUGGCGAAGGCAGCGCGCUGGGACGGUACUGACGCUGAGACGCGAAAGCGUGGGGAGCAAACAGG